This 481-nucleotide ribosomal RNA is filed under the name uncultured bacterium. RNAcentral describes it as "SSU rRNA". It matches the Rfam family "Bacterial small subunit ribosomal RNA", at positions 26 to 518 of the family's 1533-position model. The record is from RNAcentral.
AGGACGAACGCUGGCGGCGCGCUUAACACAUGCAAGUCGAGCGAGAACCAGUCCUUCGGGACUGGGGACAGCGGCGAACGGGUGAGUAACACGUGGGUAAUCUGCCCUCGAUUCUGGGAUAGCCCGGGGAAACCCGGAUUAAUACCGGAUAGCCUCUCGAGCUUACGAGCUCGUGAGAAAAGGUAGCUUCGGCCUCCGAUCGAGGAUGAGCCCGCGGCGGAUUAGCUUGUUGGUGGGGGUAAUGGCCUACCAAGGCGACGAUCCGUAGCUGGUCUGAGAGGACGAUCAGCCACACUGGGACUGAGACACGGCCCAGACUCCUACGGGAGGCAGCAGUGGGGAAUCUUGCGCAAUGGGCGAAACCCUGAUGCAGCGACGCCGCGUGCGGGAUGAAGGCCUUCGGGUUGUAAACCGCUUUCAGCAGGGACGAAUUGACGGUACCUGCAGAAGAAGCACCGGCUAACUACGUGCCAGCAGCCGC